CGUGAAUAGUUCGUCGAUAGAGACAAGCUUCUGUUGCGCAGAUAUUUGCUGACAAUUUAUUCUACUAGUGGAUGACUGACUGGCACGCAUGAUGAUGCAUGUGGUCGUCUGGGAGUCGAUCGCUGAAUGACAAAGGCUUCCUCAAAUGCCAAAGUUUGGAAGGAGAAGUUUCUUCCUCCUCUGGAAGAGUCAAGGUUUUGUUCGGUUGUUGAGCUGUUCAUGUCAAGGGUUUAUGACUUGUUGGCAGAUGUUGAAUCACAUGGUCACCUAAAUUAUUGCUUCGAUCUUAGUUAACAUAAUAUCAGAUGUAACAGCACACGAGUACGUACCAUGAGGUACUUGAGUUGAGC
This 350-nucleotide long non-coding RNA is filed under the name Hordeum vulgare. RNAcentral's name for it is "long non-coding RNA (HVUL_LNC017769)". The record is from RNAcentral. Lineage: Eukaryota; Viridiplantae; Streptophyta; Magnoliopsida; Poales; Poaceae.